This 497-nucleotide ribosomal RNA is filed under the name uncultured bacterium. RNAcentral describes it as "partial 16S ribosomal RNA". It matches the Rfam family "Bacterial small subunit ribosomal RNA", at positions 28 to 507 of the family's 1533-position model. The record is from RNAcentral.
GAUGAACGCUGGCGGCGUGCCUAAUACAUGCAAGUCGAGCGAACAGACGAGGAGCUUGCUCCUCUGACGUUAGCGGCGGACGGGUGAGUAACACGUGGAUAACCUACCUAUAAGACUGGGAUAACUUCGGGAAACCGGAGCUAAUACCGGAUAAUAUAUUGAACCGCAUGGUUCAAUAGUGAAAGACGGUUUUGCUGUCACUUAUAGAUGGAUCCGCGCCGCAUUAGCUGGUUGGUAAGGUAACGGCUUACCAAGGCAACGAUGCGUAGCCGACCUGAGAGAGUGAUAGGCCACACUGGAAGUGAACCACGGUCCAGACUCCUACGGGAGGCAGCAGUAGGGAAUCUUCCGCAGAGGGCGGAAGCCUGACGGAGCAACGCCGAGUGAGUGAUGAAGGUCUUCGGAUCGUAAAACUCUGUUAUUAGGGAAGAACAAAUGUGUAAGUAACUAUGCACGGCUUGACGGUACCUAAUCAGAAAGCCACGGCUAACUACGUG